RNAcentral lists this ribosomal RNA (475 nucleotides) under uncultured bacterium. RNAcentral describes it as "bacterial SSU rRNA". It matches the Rfam family "Bacterial small subunit ribosomal RNA", at positions 33 to 507 of the family's 1533-position model. The record is from RNAcentral.
GAGACACGCUGGCGGCGUGCCUAACACAUGCAAGUCGAGCGGGGUUGAGGCGAGAGGUAACUCGAGCUUCUACCUAGCGGCGGACGGGUGAGUAACGCGUGGGCAACCUGCCUCAAGGUUUGGGAUAACAGCCCGAAAGGGCUGCUAAUACCGGAUAUGCCUAUGGCCUCGCAUGGGGCUAUGAGCAAAGGGGAAACCCGCCUUGAGAUGGGCCCGCGUCCCAUCAGCUAGUUGGUGAGGUAACAGCUCACCAAGGCGACGACGGGUAGCCGGCCUGAGAGGGUGACCGGCCACACUGGGACUGAGACACGGCCCAGACUCCUACGGGGGGCAGCAGUGGGGGAUCUUGCACAAUGGGCGAAAGCCUGAUGCAGCGACGCCGCGUGAGCGAAGAAGGCCUUCGGGUUGUAAAGCUCUGUCUGGAGGGACGAACAAAAUGACGGUACCUCCGGAGGAAGCCACGGCUAACUACGUG